GAGUUUGAUCUUGGCUCAGGACGAACGCUGGCGGCGUGCUUAACACAUGCAAGUCGAGCGGUAAGGCCCCUUCGGGGGUACACGAGCGGCGAACGGGUGAGUAACACGUGAGCAAUCUGCCCUUCACACGGGGAUAACUCCGGGAAACCGAAGCUAAUACCCGAUACGACCACUGGCCGCAUGGCCUGGUGGUGGAAAGUUCCGGCGGUGGAGGAUGAGCUCGCGGCCUAUCAGCUUGUUGGUGGGGUAGUGGCCUACCAAGGCAACGACGGGUAGCCGGCCUGAGAGGGUGACCGGCCACACUGGGACUGAGACACGGCCCAGACUCCUACGGGA
RNAcentral lists this ribosomal RNA (336 nucleotides) under uncultured Actinomycetes bacterium. Its description in RNAcentral is "bacterial SSU rRNA". It matches the Rfam family "Bacterial small subunit ribosomal RNA", at positions 9 to 346 of the family's 1533-position model. The record is from RNAcentral. Lineage: Bacteria; Bacillati; Actinomycetota; Actinomycetes.